CCCCAAGAGUCCAUAUCGACGGGAUGGUUUGGCACCUCGAUGUCGGCUCGUCGCAUCCUGGGGCUGGAGUCGGUCCCAAGGGUUGGGCUGUUCGCCCAUUAAAGCGGUACGCGAGCUGGGUUUAGAACGUCGUGAGACAGUUCGGUCCCUAUCCGCUGUGCGCGUAGGAGUCUUGAGAAGGGCUGUCCCUAGUACGAGAGGACCGGGACGGACGAACCUCUGGUGUGCCAGUUGUUCUGCCAAGGGCAUGGCUGGUUGGCUACGUUCGGGAGGGAUAACCGCUGAAAGCAUCUAAGCGGGAAGCCUGCUUCGAGAUGAGGGCUCCCACCCACUUGAUGGGGUAAGGCUCCCAGUAGACGACUGGGUUGAUAGGCCGGAUAUGGAAGCACGGUAACGUGUGGAGUUGACCGGUACUAAUAGGCCGAGGGCUUGUCCUCAGUUG
This 442-nucleotide ribosomal RNA is filed under the name Streptomyces sp. SID8111. RNAcentral describes it as "partial 23S ribosomal RNA". It matches the Rfam family "Bacterial large subunit ribosomal RNA", at positions 2490 to 2925 of the family's 2925-position model. The record is from RNAcentral. Lineage: Bacteria; Bacillati; Actinomycetota; Actinomycetes; Kitasatosporales; Streptomycetaceae.